This 397-nucleotide ribosomal RNA is filed under the name uncultured bacterium. Its description in RNAcentral is "bacterial SSU rRNA". It matches the Rfam family "Bacterial small subunit ribosomal RNA", at positions 28 to 419 of the family's 1533-position model. The record is from RNAcentral.
GAUGAACGCUAGCGGCAGGCUUAAUACAUGCAAGUCGAGGGGCAGCACGGGAGCAAUCCUGGUGGCGACCGACAAACGGGUGCGGAACACGUACGCAACCUUCCCAAAACAGGUGAAUAGCCCUCCGAAAGGAGGAUUAAUACACCGUACCAUAAUUGAGUGGCAUCACUUGGUUAUUAUAGGUCGCAAGAUCGGUUUUGGAUGGGCGUGCGCCUGAUUAGGUAGUUGGCGGGGUAACGGCCCGCCAAGCCUCCGAUCGGUAACUGGUGUGAGAGCACGACCAGUCACACGGGCACUGAGACACGGGCCCCGACUCCUACGGGAGGCAGCAGUAAGGAAUAUUGGUCAAUGGACGCAAGUCUGAACCAGCCAUGCCGCGUGCAGGAUGAAGGCCCUC